This 690-nucleotide ribosomal RNA is filed under the name Caenorhabditis sinica. RNAcentral's name for it is "eukaryotic LSU rRNA". The stretch from base 447 to 690 matches the Rfam family "Eukaryotic large subunit ribosomal RNA", at positions 1 to 233 of the family's 3401-position model. Lineage: Eukaryota; Metazoa; Nematoda; Chromadorea; Rhabditida; Rhabditidae. The record is from RNAcentral.
GAAUUGCAGACGCUUAGAGUGGUGAAAUUUCGAACGCAUAGCACCGACUGGGUCUCCAGUCGGUACGUCUGGUUCAGGGUUGUUUAAUUCAAACUGCUAAUUCUAUUGGCUUGUCGAAUGACAUUGGGACGGCUUUCUUGGUCGACUCGAUCUCGUUCUAGUUCCGAAGCAUCACAAGUCGAGACCCGACGAAAGUCGACUCGUAAUGUGACGCGCUACUCUUAUAUCAGAGAGAUAGUGAGAGCUGCCAAAUGGCGUCCAACUUGACUUGCUGGGUUUUACCAUCAAGACGUGUAUCACAACGUGUCUUCUGAUGUGCAAAGCUCAUGCGUCAGACCGGCUCGUCGCUCUUUCUUGUCACUUUGAAUACUGGGAUUCGUUUUAUGCCUAAUGUAUCGUUUUCACGAACGUGCAUAUGCUUAAAGCGGUGCGUGUCUUGCUAUUCUCAACCUGAACUCAGUCGUGAUUACCCGCUGAACUUAAGCAUAUCAUUUAGCGGAGGAAAAGAAACUAAACAGGAUUCCCUUAGUAACGGCGAGUGAAACGGGAAGAGCCCAGCGCCGAAUCGUUCAGUCUUUGGCUGCUACGAAAUGUGGCGUAUAGGUGUAGUCUUCCAGCAGUGUCGUGAGUCCGAAGUCCUUACGAUUGAGGCCAUAAGCCAGAGAGGGUGCGAGCCCCGUCCUGGAUUGC